GUGAGUAACACGUGAGUAACCUGCCUUAGACAUUGGGAUAGCCUCGGGAAACCGGGAUUAAUACCAAAUAAAAUCAUAAUGACACAUGUCAUAACGAUCAAAACUCCGGUGGUCUAAGAUGGACUCGCGUCCCAUUAGCUAGUUGGUAGAGUAAAAGCCUACCAAGGCGACGAUGGGUAGCCGGCCUGAGAGGGUGAACGGCCACAUUGGAACUGAGAAACGGUCCAA
Molecule: ribosomal RNA, 228 nt
Filed under: uncultured Eubacteriales bacterium
Lineage: Bacteria; Bacillati; Bacillota; Clostridia; Eubacteriales
Description: uncultured Clostridiales bacterium partial 16S ribosomal RNA
Rfam family: Bacterial small subunit ribosomal RNA
Source: RNAcentral